AGCUAAUACUUGCUUUAGCACUCUUGAUUUAUUUCUUGAAUGUGUACUUGUUAAGCCUUAUAAGAAAAGAGUUAUUAACUUAAGGAAUUAUAACAAAGAAGUAACACGUAAUGGAUUCUUCCAUUUUUUAGUGUGUAUCAAUCGAGUUUCUGACCUAUCAGCUUUUGAUGUUAGGGUAUUGGCCUAACAUGGCUAUGACGGGUAACGGGGAAUUAGAGUUCGAUUCCGGAGAGGGAGCCUGAGAAAUAGCUACCACAUCUAAGGAAGGCAGCAGGCGCAUAAAUUACCCAAUUCUAAAGAAGAGAGGUAGUGACAAGAAAUAACAAUACAAGGCCAAUCUGGCUUUGUAAUUGGAAUGAUGGGAAUUUAAAACCUUCCCAAAAUUCAAUUGGAGGGCAAGUCUGGUGCCAGCAGCCGCGGUAAUUCCAGCUCCAAUAGCGUAUAUUAAAAUUGUUGCAGUUAAAACGCUCGUAGUUGAAUUUCAAAGAAUCGAUAUUUUAAGUAACGCUUCUAGCUAUAAAUCCACAUAACUGAUGCCUCCGCGUAUCGACUUUGUGCGCAUUUUAGCUAUUAUGUGUUCUUUUAAUUAAAAUGAUUCUUUUUAAGAUUCAUCUAUUAAAAAUUUGCCUCGGCAUAAUUUUUUUUGAUGAUCUUGUUACUUUGAGUAAAUUAGAGUGUUCAAAGCAAACAGAUAUAGCAUUUGUGCGUUUGAAUACUACAGCAUGGAAUAACAAAAUUGAACAAGUCAGAAUUUUUUUGUUCUUUUUUCUUAUUUUGGCUUAGUUACGAUUAAUAGGAGUAGCUUGGGGGCAUUUGUAUUCAGAUGUCAGAGGUGAAAUUCUUAGAUUUUCUGGAGACAAACAACUGCGAAAGCAUUUGCCUAAAAUACUUCCAUUAAUCAAGAACGAAAGUUAAGGGAGUGAAGACGAUCAGAUACCGUCGUAAUCUUAACCAUAAACUAUGCCGACUAGGCUUUGGAUGAAAGAUUUUAAAAUAAGAGUUUU
RNAcentral lists this ribosomal RNA (1004 nucleotides) under Plasmodium knowlesi. RNAcentral's name for it is "SSU rRNA". It matches the Rfam family "Eukaryotic small subunit ribosomal RNA", at positions 162 to 1076 of the family's 1831-position model. Lineage: Eukaryota; Apicomplexa; Aconoidasida; Haemosporida; Plasmodiidae. The record is from RNAcentral.